CCUACGGGGGGCUGCAGUGGGGAAUAUUGGGCAAUGGACGCAAGCCUGAACCAGUAACGCCGCGUGAAGGAAGAAGGCUUUCGGGUUGUAAACUUCUUUUAAGAGGGAAGAGCAGAAGACGGUACCUCUCGAAUAAGCCACGGCUAACUACGUGCCAGCAGCCGCGGUAAUACGUAGGUGGCAAGCGUUGUCCGGAUUUACUGGGUGUAAAGGGCGUGUAGGCGGGCUGACAAGUCAGAUGUGAAAUUCCGGGGCUCAACCCCGGACCUGCGUUUGAAACUGUUGGUCUAGAGUAUAGGUGCGGUAGGCGGAAUUCAUGGUGUAGCGGUGAAAUGCGUAGAGAUUA
This 346-nucleotide ribosomal RNA is filed under the name uncultured bacterium. RNAcentral describes it as "partial 16S ribosomal RNA". It matches the Rfam family "Bacterial small subunit ribosomal RNA", at positions 338 to 699 of the family's 1533-position model. The record is from RNAcentral.